UAACACGUGGGUAACCUGCCUGUAAGACUGGGAUAACUCCGGGAAACCGGGGCUAAUACCGGAUGGUUGUCUGAACCGCAUGGUUCAGACAUAAAAGGUGGCUUCGGCUACCACUUACAGAUGGACCCGCGGCGCAUUAGCUAGUUGGUGAGGUAACGGCUCACCAAGGCGACGAUGCGUAGCCGACCUGAGAGGGUGAUCGGCCACACUGGGACUGAGACACGGCCCAGACUCCUACGGGAGGCAGCAGUAGGGAAUCUUCCGCAAUGGACGAAAGUCUGACGGAGCAACGCCGCGUGAGUGAUGAAGGUUUUCGGAUCGUAAAGCUCUGUUGUUAGGGAAGAACAAGUGCCGUUCAAAUAGGGCGGCACCUUGACGG
This 379-nucleotide ribosomal RNA is filed under the name Bacillus amyloliquefaciens. Its description in RNAcentral is "bacterial SSU rRNA". It matches the Rfam family "Bacterial small subunit ribosomal RNA", at positions 111 to 475 of the family's 1533-position model. The record is from RNAcentral. Lineage: Bacteria; Bacillati; Bacillota; Bacilli; Caryophanales; Bacillaceae.